UUUUUUUUUUUUUAAUUUUUAUUAUUUUCAAGAUUUACAACAAAUACAACACAUCAAACAUACAUACAGUAAUAUUAGCGAUAGAUUUGAAUAUAUAUUUAUUUAUGACAAUAAACAUUGUUGUAAAUUAAUUUUUCUAUUUAUAUGAAAAAAAAAGAAGCAAGAAAAUACAGAAGAAAAUAUAAUUAGAGUUAAAUGUUUAUGUACCACUGUGUGGCACUUGAGAAUUUUAAAGAAUUUUAUAAAAAAAAAAAAAGAAAAAAAAGGAAGAGGUUAAAAAAUAUCCCGUAAGAUUUUCAGUACAUAAUAAAUUGUGCUAUUAGAUACAAUAAUAUUUUAUGUUAGUUUUGACAAUAAAUAUAGAUUGUAAAAACAAAUGACAAAUUGAAUUAUAAAAAUAAUACUUUAAAUGCAUUCCACAUGGUAUCAAAGUGUUUUUGUCUCUUAUUUUUGACUGCCAUUAUUUUUUCUAAAUUGUACAUAUAUUUUAACUUUUCUUUAAUGGCACUGACUGAAAGAUCUUUUGAAAAACAUCUACUGUUGUAUAUAUAUUGUUUCAUGUAUAGAAAAAUCAAAUUAUAUGGGUCACCUUUUCGAACUUUUGAUAUAUCUCCAAAAAUAAAAUUCAACUUAUUCAAUGGCAGGCUUACCCCACCAGAUAAGAACCAAUAAUCUACAUCUUGUAAAAAAUUUUGGAUAAUCUCACAAUUCCACAGAAUAUGUUCAACAGUUUCAUCUUCUAAUUUACAAAAAGUACAUAGAGGGUUAUCGAUAAGUUUGAUUUUACAUAAAAAUUUAUUUGUGGCAAGAAUUCUAUGGUUGAUUCUGUACUGAAGCCACUGUAGUUUUGUAUUGACAGUGACUGUAAAAGGUAGUUUGAAUAUAUGUUUCCAAAUGAGAUCUUCACCUAAUAUUUCACUCCACUUCAGUUGUCCUGUUGGAGUCACCUUGUUACUUAUGAGUAUUUUGUACAUAUCUUUAGUACCUUUUCUACUUUUAAAAAA
This 1004-nucleotide long non-coding RNA is filed under the name Mytilus galloprovincialis (Mediterranean mussel). Lineage: Eukaryota; Metazoa; Mollusca; Bivalvia; Mytilida; Mytilidae. The record is from RNAcentral.